RNAcentral lists this ribosomal RNA (497 nucleotides) under uncultured bacterium. RNAcentral describes it as "partial 16S ribosomal RNA". It matches the Rfam family "Bacterial small subunit ribosomal RNA", at positions 28 to 507 of the family's 1533-position model. The record is from RNAcentral.
GAUGAACGCUGGCGGCGUGCCUAAUACAUGCAAGUCGAGCGAACAGACGAGGAGCUGGCUCCUCUGACGUUAGCGGCGGACGGGUGAGUAACACGUGGAUAACCUACCUAUAAGACUGGGAUAACUUCGGGAAACCGGAGCUAAUACCGGAUAAUAUAUUGAACCGCAUGGUUCAAUAGUGAAAGACGGUUUUGCUGUCACUUAUAGAUGGAUCCGCGCCGCAUUAGCUAGUUGGUAAGGUAACGGCUUACCAAGGCAACGAUGCGUAGCCGACCUGAGAGGGUGAUCGGCCACACUGGAACUGAGACACGGUCCAGACUCCUACGGGAGGCAGCAGUAGGGAAUCUUCCGCAAUGGGCGAAAGCUUGACGGAGCAACGCCGCGUGAGUGAUGAAGGUCUUCGGAUCGUAAAACUCUGUUAUUAGAGAAGAACAAAUGUGUAAGUAACUAUGCACGUCUUGACGGUACCUAAUCAGAAAGCCACAGCUAACUACGUG